GGGGUUGGUGGGGCAACCUCAGCAACAUCUGUCACUCCAUUGCUUGCCAGGAUUACUUAGUCGAUUUGUCUGACUGGGCAGGUGUCCCCUCUCUCCCUCAGUGCUCCAUGUGCAUCCCUCUUGAAGCUUCGCACUCUGUUGAAGAGGACACUCAUCCCAGGUAGAGAGGGGGACGGGAAACUGGGCCAAUUUAAUCUAUGUCCUUUUCUUUUCAUCAGAGCAAGGCUACUUGACUGGGAUCCAUUGACUUCCUAGAAGGUCCUUGACCUCCAUG
Molecule: small RNA, 274 nt
Filed under: Nannospalax galili (Upper Galilee mountains blind mole rat)
Lineage: Eukaryota; Metazoa; Chordata; Mammalia; Rodentia; Spalacidae
Description: 7SK RNA (ENSNGAG00000003940.1)
Rfam family: 7SK RNA (bases 2-189)
About the family: 7SK was discovered as an abundant small nuclear RNA in the mid-70s but a possible function has only recently been suggested. Two independent studies have found that 7SK RNA binds the CDK9/cyclin T complex (known as elongation factor P-TEFb).
Source: RNAcentral